UACAGAGGUCUCAAGCGUUGUUCGGAUUCAUUGGGCGUAAAGGGUGCGUAGGCGGCGCGGUAAGUCGGGUGUGAAAUCUCGGAGCUUAACUCCGAAACUGCAUUCGAUACUGCCGUGCUUGAGGACUGGAGAGGAGAUUGGAAUUCACAGUGGAGCAGUGAAAUGCGUAGAUAUUGUGAGGAACACUAGUGGCGAAGGCGAAUCUCUGGACAGUACCUGACGCUGAGGCACGAAGGCCAGGGGAGCAAACGGG
This 253-nucleotide ribosomal RNA is filed under the name uncultured bacterium. Its description in RNAcentral is "partial 16S ribosomal RNA". It matches the Rfam family "Bacterial small subunit ribosomal RNA", at positions 524 to 776 of the family's 1533-position model. The record is from RNAcentral.